Molecule: ribosomal RNA, 487 nt
Filed under: uncultured bacterium
Lineage: Bacteria
Description: SSU rRNA
Rfam family: Bacterial small subunit ribosomal RNA
Source: RNAcentral
AGGACGAACGCUGGCGGCGUGCUUCACACAUGCAAGUCGAACGGGGCUCAUCCGGUGGUAACACUGGAGAAGGCCUAGUGGCGAACGGGUGAGUAACACGUGAGGAACCUGCCCCGAAGACCGGGAUAACAGCGGGAAACCGCUGCUAAUACCGGAUGCCCCCAUCAGGCCGCAUGGCCAGGUGAGGAAAUGGAUUCCGCUUCGGGAGGGUCUCGCGGCCUAUCAGCUAGUUGGUGGGGUAACGGCCUACCAAGGCUACGACGGGUAGCUGGUCUGAGAGGACGACCAGCCACACUGGGACUGAGACACGGCCCAGACUCCUACGGGAGGCAGCAGUGGGGAAUCUUGCGCAAUGGGCGAAAGCCUGACGCAGCAACGCCGCGUGAGGGAUGAAGGCCUUCGGGUUGUAAACCGUCUUUCAAGCAGGGACGAUAGUGACGGUACCUGCAGAAGAAGCUCCGGCCAACUACGUGCCAGCAGCCGCGGU